UACGGGGGGAGCAAGCGUUGUUCGGAUUUACUGGGCGUAAAGAGCGUGUAGGCGGCCAGACAGGUCCGUUGUGAAAACUAGAGGCUUAACCUCUAGACGUCGAUGGAAACCGUCUGGCUAGAGUCCGGAAGAGGAGAAUGGAAUUCCUGGUGUAGCGGUGAAAUGCGCAGAUAUCAGGAAGAACACCCGUGGCUAAGGCGGUUCUCUAGUACGGUACUGACGCUGAGACGCGAAAGCGUGGGGAGCGAACAGG
RNAcentral lists this ribosomal RNA (253 nucleotides) under uncultured bacterium. RNAcentral describes it as "partial 16S ribosomal RNA". It matches the Rfam family "Bacterial small subunit ribosomal RNA", at positions 524 to 776 of the family's 1533-position model. The record is from RNAcentral.